CGAAUCUGUCGAAACCUCAUUCAUAAGUGGAUUGAGUUUCAAUAUGGAUUCUUGGGCAUUUUCUUUUGGUGCAUCAAUAUAAGUCUCAGAAUUUUGUGACGACACUAUAUCACUUAAAGUAAUGAUGUUUUCAAAAGUAAAAGAUGAAUCUUCCUUAAAAUUUCCCCCCUGAAGAUGAAUGUCACUAAAAAAUGGUUGAUUUUCAACAAAAG
Molecule: long non-coding RNA, 212 nt
Filed under: Cicer arietinum (chickpea)
Lineage: Eukaryota; Viridiplantae; Streptophyta; Magnoliopsida; Fabales; Fabaceae
Description: long non-coding RNA (CARI_LNC002706)
Source: RNAcentral